GACGAACGCUGGCGGCGUGCUUAACACAUGCAAGUCGAGCGGUAAGGCCCUUUCGGGGGUACACGAGCGGCGAACGGGUGAGUAACACGUGGGUGACCUGCCCUCAGCUCUGGGAUAAGCCCGGGAAACUGGGUCUAAUACUGGAUAUGACUCCACGGUGCAUGCCGUGGGGUGGAAAGCCUUGUGCGGCUGAGGAUGGGCCCGCGGCCUAUCAGCUUGUUGGUGGGGUGAUGGCCUACCAAGGCGACGACGGGUAGCCGGCCUGAGAGGGCGACCGGCCACACUGGGACUGAGACACGGCCCAGACUCCUACGGGAGGCAGCAGUGGGGAAUCUUGCGCAAUGGGCGAAAGCCUGACGCAGCGACGCCGCGUGAGGGAUGACGGCCUGUGU
Molecule: ribosomal RNA, 392 nt
Filed under: uncultured bacterium
Lineage: Bacteria
Description: bacterial SSU rRNA
Rfam family: Bacterial small subunit ribosomal RNA
Source: RNAcentral